GGGUUGUGAGGUUAAGCGACUAAGCGUACACGGUGGAUGCCCUGGCAGUCAGAGGCGAUGAAGGACGUGCUAAUCUGCGAUAAGCGCCGGUAAGGUGAUAUGAACCGUUAUAACCGGCGAUUUCCGAAUGGGGAAACCCAGUGUGACUCGUCACACUAUCAUUAACUGAAUCCAUAGGUUAAUGAGGCGAACCGGGGGAACUGAAACAUCUAAGUACCCCGAGGAAAAGAAAUCAACCGAGAUUCCCCCAGUAGCGGCGAGCGAACGGGGAGGAGCCCAGAGCCUGAAUCAGCAUGUGUGUUAGUGGAAGCGUCUGGAAAGGCGCGCGAUACAGGGUGACAGCCCCGUACACAAAAGCGCAUGUGCUGUGAGCUCGAUGAGUAGGGCGGGACACGUGGUAUCCUGUCUGAAUAUGGGGGGACCAUCCUCCAAGGCUAAAUACUCCUGACUGACCGAUAGUGAACCAGUACCGUGAGGGAAAGGCGAAAAGAACCCCGGCGAGGGGAGUGAAAAAGAACCUGAAACCGUGUACGUACAAGCAGUGGGAGCACCCUUUGGGGUGUGACUGCGUACCUUUUGUAUAAUGGGUCAGCGACUUAUAUUCUGUAGCAAGGUUAACCGUAUAGGGGAGCCGGAGGGAAACCGAGUCUUAACCGGGCGUUAAGUUGCAGGGUAUAGACCCGAAACCCGGUGAUC
This 696-nucleotide ribosomal RNA is filed under the name Salmonella enterica subsp. enterica serovar Montevideo. Its description in RNAcentral is "partial 23S ribosomal RNA". It matches the Rfam family "Bacterial large subunit ribosomal RNA", at positions 1 to 730 of the family's 2925-position model. The record is from RNAcentral. Lineage: Bacteria; Pseudomonadati; Pseudomonadota; Gammaproteobacteria; Enterobacterales; Enterobacteriaceae.